GCUGUGGCUCAGUGGUAGAGUGCUUUUCUGGCAUGUGUGAGGCACUGGGUUCCAUUCUCAGCACUGCA
Molecule: transfer RNA, 68 nt
Filed under: Marmota monax (woodchuck)
Lineage: Eukaryota; Metazoa; Chordata; Mammalia; Rodentia; Sciuridae
Description: tRNA.Ala
Source: RNAcentral